GAUGAACGCUGGCGGCGUGCCUAAUACAUGCAAGUCGAGCGAACAGACGAGGAGCUUGCUCCUCUGACGUUAGCGGCGGACGGGUGAGUAACACGUGGAUAACCUACCUAUAAGACUGGGAUAACUUCGGGAAACCGGAGCUAAUACCGGAAAAUAUAUUGAACCGCAUGGUUCAUUAGUGAAAGACGGUUUUGCGGUCACUUAUAGAUGAAUCCGCGCCGCAUUAGCUAGUUGGUAAGGUAACGGCUUACCAAGGCGACGAUGCGUAGCCGACCUGAGAGGGUGAUCGGCCACACUGGAACUGAGACACGGUCCAGACUCCUACGGGAGGCAGCAGUAGGGAAUCUUCCGCAAUGGGCGAAAGCCUGACGGAGCAACGCCGCGUGAGUGAUGAAGGUCUUCGGAUCGUAAAACUCUGUUAUUAGGGAAGAACAAAUGUGUAAGUAACUAUGCACGUCUUGACGGUACCUAAUCAGAAAGCCACGGCUAACUACGUG
RNAcentral lists this ribosomal RNA (497 nucleotides) under uncultured bacterium. Its description in RNAcentral is "partial 16S ribosomal RNA". It matches the Rfam family "Bacterial small subunit ribosomal RNA", at positions 28 to 507 of the family's 1533-position model. The record is from RNAcentral.